RNAcentral lists this ribosomal RNA (239 nucleotides) under uncultured bacterium. RNAcentral describes it as "partial 16S ribosomal RNA". It matches the Rfam family "Bacterial small subunit ribosomal RNA", at positions 15 to 244 of the family's 1533-position model. The record is from RNAcentral.
GAUCCUGGCUCAGGACGAACGCUGGCGGCGUGCCUAAUACAUGCAAGUUGAACGCUGAAGACUGGUACUUGUACUAGUUGGAUGAGUAGCGAACGGGUGAGUAACGCGUGGGUAACCUACCUCUUAGCGGGGGACAACUAUUGGAAACGAUAGCUAAUACCGCAUAACAAUCACUAACACAUGUUAGUGAUUUGAAAGCACCAAUUGGUGCACUAAGAGAUGGACCCGCGUUGUAUUAG